UAUAUGGGUCCAACUGGUAAU
This 21-nucleotide non-coding RNA is filed under the name Arabidopsis thaliana (thale cress). Lineage: Eukaryota; Viridiplantae; Streptophyta; Magnoliopsida; Brassicales; Brassicaceae. The record is from RNAcentral.